AAGAAACUAUUAACUCA
This 17-nucleotide microRNA is filed under the name Corchorus capsularis. RNAcentral describes it as "sRNA CCACVL1_17915". The record is from RNAcentral. Lineage: Eukaryota; Viridiplantae; Streptophyta; Magnoliopsida; Malvales; Malvaceae.